Molecule: ribosomal RNA, 780 nt
Filed under: uncultured bacterium
Lineage: Bacteria
Description: bacterial SSU rRNA
Rfam family: Bacterial small subunit ribosomal RNA
Source: RNAcentral
GAUGAACUCUGGCGGCGUGCUUAACACAUGCAAGUCGAGCGAAGCAGUUAAGUUGAUUUCUUCGGAUUGAUUCUUGGCUGACUGAGCGGCGGACGGGUGAGUAACGCGUGGGUGACCUGCCCCAUACCGGGGGAUAACAGCUGGAAACGGCUGCUAAUACCGCAUAAGCGCACAGAGCUGCAUGGCUCAGUGUGAAAAACUCCGGUGGUUAUGGGAUGGGCCCGCGUCUGAUUAGGCAGUUGGCGGGGUAACGGCCCACCAAACCGACGAUCAGUAGCCGGCCUGAGAGGGCGACCGGCCACAUUGGGACUGAGACACGGCCCAAACUCCUACGGGAGGCAGCAGUGGGGAAUAUUGCACAAUGGGGGAAACCCUGAUGCAGCGACGCCGCGUGAGCGAAGAAGUAUUUCGGUAUGUAAAGCUCUAUCAGCAGGGAAGAUAAUGACGGUACCUGACUAAGAAGCCCCGGCUAACUACGUGCCAGUAGCCGCGGUAAUACGUAGGGGGCAAGCGUUAUCCGGAUUUACUGGGUGUAAAGGGAGCGUAGACGGCAAGGCAAGUCUGAUGUGAAAACCCAGGGCUUAACCCUGGGACUGCAUUGGAAACUGUCUGGCUCGAGUGCCGGAGAGGUAAGCGGAAUUCCUAGUGUAGCGGUGAAAUGCGUAGAUAUUAGGAAGAACACCAGUGGCGAAGGCGGCUUACUGGACGGUAACUGACGUUGAGGCUCGAAAGCGUGGGGAGCAAACAGGAUUAGAUACCCUGGUAGUCCACGCCGUAAAC